Long non-coding RNA from Olea europaea var. sylvestris, 1108 nucleotides. RefSeq lists it as uncharacterized. Lineage: Eukaryota; Viridiplantae; Streptophyta; Magnoliopsida; Lamiales; Oleaceae. The transcript is spliced from 3 exons. The record is from RefSeq and is a predicted model, not a curated record.
CCUCUAAGACAAAAAAAUGUUUCGUCCUUUAUUUUUUGUUUCAACACCGAGUCAUAGUUUUUAGGUUGCAUAUCUAUCUUUCAUGUGUAGAAUACUUUAAACUUCAGUGUAAAUGCAUAAAUACUGGAGAAUGAGUAUAGGGAACCAUGCAAUGAUGAACUAGAAAUCUGUUGAAUGAAUUCCUCUGAUUCCUUAGUUGAAAUCUCGCACAUAUUUGUUCUUUACUACCAGUUGAAUUGAUCAGAAUGUUACCUGAAAUUCACAUACAUAUAUAACUUGUAGACUGUCAAUGGAAAUCUGUCAACAAAAUCUGAUAAUUAGUGGACUUCUUCUUCUUUUUUCCCCCUAAAUCCUGUAGCUGACCUGCAGGAGUUGGCAAAGCUUUCCCAGAAAUUCGAAGAGAAUAUUAUUGAUGCGACUAAAAUGUUUGAGAAAAUUAUUAUAGAUAAAAAAGAAGUUGAAGGCAUACCUUUGAUUGCACUUACUGUAGCUGCAGAGAAAGCGGUGCUCAAGGGAUAUGCAAAGGCCACAGCUGAUGAUGGAUGUCCCAUGGGCUAUUACAUUGGGCGGCCCAAGCUAUAGAGCUGUUUUGCAACAUUCUUGCAAUAGAUCUUUGAGAGAGGAAGUUUAUCGUGCUCAUGUGACCCGUGCCUCUGAUGGAACUUUAAACAAUAACCAUUUAUAGAACGCAUAUUGGAGCUCAGGUUAAAGAAAGCAAAGCUUCUAGACUACAGUAACUUUUCAGGGGUGAGCAUGGAAACCAAAAUGGCCACCAUUGAUAAAGCAAAGGAUCUUCUAUAUAAGCUUCAUAGUGCUUCUUGGAAUCCUGCUACUAAGGGUAAGUGUUUACCUUAAAAAAUGCACAUUUAUUAUUUUGAAUCAAGCUAAUAUCAAUAUCACUUAGUGAUCUCAAGAGAAAUGCCAAAGAUGUUGCCAUCCAUUUCUUCAAAUAAUUGAAUCUACCAUGUUGAGAUUUUAAAAUUGAAAAUAUUGAAUGUUCCUUCGAUCUAGUUGAUAAAUAUAUUCAUAAUUAGAAUUGAGACUUACUUCUGAAUGGCCCAGAGCAAUCUUACUGGCUGUUAUGAUUGUAAUACCCAACUCUUGACCC